RNAcentral lists this ribosomal RNA (425 nucleotides) under uncultured bacterium. Its description in RNAcentral is "bacterial SSU rRNA". It matches the Rfam family "Bacterial small subunit ribosomal RNA", at positions 356 to 773 of the family's 1533-position model. The record is from RNAcentral.
GGGGAAUUUUGGACAAUGGGGGCAACCCUGAUCCAGCAAUGCCGCGUGUGUGAAGAAGGCCUUCGGGUUGUAAAGCACUUUUGCCAGGGAAGAAACGGUGAGGGCUAAUAUCCUUUGCUAAUGACGGUACCUGAAGAAUAAGGACCGGCUAACUACGUGCCAGCAGCCGCGGUAAUACGUAGGGUCCAAGCGUUAAUCGGAAUUACUGGGCGUAAAGCGUGCGCAGGCGGUUGUGUAAGUCAGAUGUGAAAUCCCCGGGCUUAACCUGGGAAUGGCAUUUGAGACUGCACGGCUAGAGUGUGUCAGAGGGGGGUAGAAUUCCACGUGUAGCAGUGAAAUGCGUAGAGAUGUGGAGGAAUACCGAUGGCGAAGGCAGCCCCCUGGGAUAACACUGACGCUCAUGCACGAAAGCGUGGGGAGCAAAC